GAGGAGCGUUCCGCAUAGGGGGAAGCCAAGCGCGUAAGCAGCGGUGGACAGUGCGGAAGUGAGAAUGUCAGAUUGAGUAACGAAAACAUUGGUGAGAAUCCAAUGCCCCGAAAACUUAAGGGUUCCUCUGCAAGGCUCGUCCGCAGAGGGUUAGUCAGGACCUAACAUGAGGCCGAAAGGCGUAAUGGAUGGCAAGAAGGUUUAUAUUCCUUCACUAUUGUUUUCUUAGUCCUGAGGGACGAACAAAUGCACACCUUUUUUGUGUCCAGGCUUGGCAGCUUGGAAGUCACACACUAAUGGUUGGGUAUUUUUUCCAAGAAAAGCUCAUUCGACUUUGAGAAAAAAAUACCUGUACCGUAAACCGACACAGGUGAGUAGGUUGAAUAAACUAAGGGGAGCGAGAUAACUCUCUCUAAGGAACUCGGCAAAUUGGCUCUGUACCUUCGGAAGAAAGAGUGCCCUGUAAAGGGCCGCAGUGAAGAGAUCCAGGCGACUGUUUACCAAAAACACAGGUCUCCGCAAAGUCGCAAGACGAAGUAUGGGGGCUGACACCUGCCCAGUGCCAGAAGGUUAAAGAAGUUGGUCAAUCUUCGGAUGAAGCUGACAACUGAAGCCCUGGUGAACGGCGGCAGUAACUAUAACUGUCCUAAGGUAGCGAAAUUCCUUGUCGGGUAAGUUCCGACCCGCACGAAAGGUGUAACGAUCUGGAUACUGUCUCAGAGAGAGACUCGGUGAAAUAAAACUAUCUGUGAAGAUGCGGAUUACCUGCACACGGACAGAAAGACCCUAUGAAGCUUUACUGUAACCUGGAAUUGCUCUCAAGCUUAUUUCGCGCAGCUUAGGUGGGAGACGUUGAACCUUUUCUUCCGGGAAAGGGGGAGUCAUCAGUGAGAUACCACUCUUGGUAAGCUAGAGCGCUCAUUUUUAACCGUUAUCCGGUAAAAAGACAGUUUCAGGCGGGCAGUUUGACUGGGGCAGUCACCUCCCAAAAGGUAAUGGAGGUGUACAAAGGUUCCCUCAGGCUGGACGGAAAUCAGCCAUAGAGUGUAAAAGCAUAAGGGAGCUUGACUGCGAGACGGACAUGUCAAGCAGAGACGAAAGUCGGUUUUAGUGAUCCGACGGUGCUGAGUGGAAAGGCCGUCGCUCAACGGAUAAAAGUUACUCUAGGGAUAACAGGCUAAUCUCCCCCAAGAGUUCACAUCGACGGGGAGGUUUGGCACCUCGAUGUCGGCUCGUCGCAUCCUGGAGCGGAAGUACGUUCCAAGGGUUGGGCUGUUCGCCCAUAGAAAGCGGUACGUGAGCUGGGUUCAGAACGUCGUGAGACAGUUUGGUCCAUAUCCUGUGUAGGCGUUUAGAGCAUUGAAAGGAUCUCCCCUUUGUACGAGAGGACCAGGUGGGGACAGACCGCUAGUGUACCAGUUAUCCCACCAGGGGUAAACGCUGGGUAGCUAUGUCUGGAGUAAAUAACUGCUGAAAGCAUAUAAGUAGGAAGUUCACCUUAAGAUGAGUGCUCUUUUGUCUCAACCGUUCAGUUUUACUGACAAAUGAAAGACAAGGAAGGUCACGGCAAGACGAGCCGUUUGAUAGGCAUGAAGUAGAAGUGCAGUAAUGCAUUCUGAAGCUGACAUGUGCUAAUAGACCGAGGGAUUUGAUUUU
Molecule: ribosomal RNA, 1656 nt
Filed under: marine metagenome
Description: bacterial LSU rRNA
Rfam family: Bacterial large subunit ribosomal RNA
Source: RNAcentral